AAAAACGUACAGUCGCUGUUGCCUGUCUGCCCAGAAACAAGAGAGAGUUAAGGAGCGACCAUCAGCCUCCCUCCUUCCUUCCAGGCAAGGUGCUUUUCUAGAACCCAGCUCCCCAAACUGGCGAGAGAGACGCAACGUGCCCAUUUGGGGCAGAGAGGAAAGCGCAGGAGGAGGCAGCGUUUUGCUUGGCGUGGGUUCGCUACCCUGCAGGAUGCUUGUGACUCGGGCAUUUCUGGAUUUUAUAAUUCAUUCCUCCCACCUUGUACUCCAGCUCUGGUGACCCCUGGGAGCGGGAAAGAAGGUAAAACUGAGGACUCUAAAAGAGGAAAUGCUUUGCCCAAGAGCAACCGCUAAUCCAGAAUGGAAUGGUGACUUGAUCCCAGGGUUCCUGGCCCUGCCCACCGCUUCACGCACUCCAAGGCACCCAGCCCUGCGACUGAGGUGCCCUCGGAUCCAGCCUGGAGACGCAACCACCAUGUUUAGAGGCAGCUCAAACCAGCCCACAGGCAGAGACCACAUGCAGAAGAACUGAGGCCCCCAGCUGACAGUCGGCAUCAACUGGCAGACAGAUGAAGACGCUCAGGCGCUCACUAGCCCCAGCUGGUCAGUGGCAGCACCAGCCCAGAAAGCCCAGAGUUGGUUCCUGUGUUCCAGGCCAGGGCAGACCAGCAGCACCCUCUCCCUACCAAUCUGAGCGUCUCCACAGCGUCUGGCAUUCAGGGAGGGCUCUCGGCAUUGGAUGAAUGAACUGCCAAGUCUCCCCCAGCCUAAGCAGUACGGGACAGGGACAGUGACUCGCGCUGGGGUAUGGGGGUUCCCCAUCCUUCAAGUGUUGCCUGUCUGUCUCAUCUUGUCGCUAUCCCCUUCCCUUUGUCCUGGGAAAUCAAAGCAGAUCCGCGUGCUUGUGAGGUUCCAGCCCUGGCUUGGGGCUCCGGCUCGGGUGGGAUGGGAGGGGAGAGACUGUUGCCCCAGGCUAUUUGUGUGCAAGCGUGAAGGGUUCGGGGGACAGGGGAGGGUCACGUCGAUGGUCAAUUAGAUGGGACUCCUGGGUGGCCUGACUGCAAAGUACAGGCGGGUCUCCAGCACGCGGACCCUCUCCACCCCGCAUGCACA
Sus scrofa (pig) is the source of this 1113-nucleotide non-coding RNA. The record is from RefSeq and is a predicted model, not a curated record. NCBI's taxonomy places the organism in Eukaryota, Metazoa, Chordata, Mammalia, Artiodactyla, Suidae.